AUGCCAUCAUCAAGGCACUACCAUUCUGGUAGAAUUUACUCACCAACUGGUUCAUCUGAUCAGUGGACUGGCACAUCAGGGCAAUGGUUUUCAAGAGAUGUGAACGUCCAGAUAUACGCUCUGAGUAGUGGGCCGGAAGAUGCCACAUCAUUCCCAAUACUAUGCUGUCUCUAACACAACUGAAAUGGGGUGCACCACAGAGCAGGAGCUAAGUGAACACCGCAGUGGAUUUCAGCCACCGUCCCACACCUACAAGAUGUCAAAAGCGCCAAAUCCCAGAGCCUAAUGGGACCUCUGCAGUAGCCAACAUCCCAUAUGCAUAAAAGAACCUUAUAUAGUAGUAUCUCCCCAGCAAAGGGACUGUUCUUGGAAGCCAAACCAUGCUGCUUCUAGAUCCGCUGUAUCUCCCGAAAUAGAUUUAUGAAGAAGGAAGACAGAGACACAAAGGCUAGAGAAGGGCUUCUUACCCUGCUAAAGAAAUUUUUAAGUGUCAAAACUCCAAUGGACAAACUACUAGACCAGGAGGCCAGGAAGGGACAUAAGCAACACGAGGGGGGUUAGAUGGAGGCUGGGGAAGACCCCAGGUGGAGGUGGGAGAGGACCAGGAUCUGACAGCUAAAGGUGGAACCUGAGCUUCUCAAUCUGAAAAUGAAGUGGUUUAUUAAUGGAUAUUGGCUCCCAGGUGACAUCGGCUAAACCACCCAGAACGAUGCAUAUGAAGUCUGAAGUGAAUCCAAGACUUCUAGCUGCACGGUUCUAAAUCCUGGCGGCCAGUUGGCAUUUAGACCUUCUACAACUUGACUCCACACUUCACCUGCCAGCCCCGCAAUGGACCCCGCCUCCAUCUUGAUUGGUGCACUGUGAUCUGCUUAUUGGACAUCUUGUCCCUGAGAGCAGAGUGUGAUGACUCCUUCCGGAUCUUAAUUGGUGAAGGAAAUCUCUGGCUUUAUGCAGAUAGGUAUGUAACAACUAUUUCCCACAGGCAUACUCCCCAUCAUUGUGUGACUG
This 1008-nucleotide long non-coding RNA is filed under the name Equus caballus (horse). RNAcentral's name for it is "lncRNA (ENSECAG00000037144.3)". The record is from RNAcentral. Lineage: Eukaryota; Metazoa; Chordata; Mammalia; Perissodactyla; Equidae.